GACGAACGCUGGCGGCGUGCCUAAUACAUGCAAGUCGAGCGGACUGAAUGGGAGCUUGCUCUUGUUCGGUCAGCGGCGGACGGGUGAGUAACACGUGGGCAACCUGCCCGCAAGACCGGGAUAACUCCGGGAAACCGGAGCUAAUACCGGAUAACACCGAAGACCGCAUGGUCUUUGGUUGAAAGGCGGCGCAAGCUGCCACUUGCGGAUGGGCCCGCGGCGCAUUAGCUAGUUGGUGAGGUAACGGCUCACCAAGGCGACGAUGCGUAGCCGGCCUGAGAGGGUGACCGGCCACACUGGGACUGAGACACGGCCCAGACUCCUACGGGAGGCAGCAGUAGGGAAUCUUCCGCAAUGGGCGAAAGCCUGACGGAGCGACGCCGCGUGAGCGAAGAAGGCCUUCGGGUCGUAAAGCUCUGUUGUGAGGGACGAAGGAGCGCCGUUUGAAGAAGGCGGCGCGGUGACGGUACCUCACGAGGAAGCCCCGGCUAACUACGUG
This 499-nucleotide ribosomal RNA is filed under the name uncultured bacterium. RNAcentral's name for it is "partial 16S ribosomal RNA". It matches the Rfam family "Bacterial small subunit ribosomal RNA", at positions 28 to 507 of the family's 1533-position model. The record is from RNAcentral.